Molecule: ribosomal RNA, 250 nt
Filed under: uncultured prokaryote
Description: partial 16S rRNA
Rfam family: Bacterial small subunit ribosomal RNA
Source: RNAcentral
ACGUAGGGGGCAAGCGUUAUCCGGAAUUAUUGGGCGUAAAGAGUGCGUAGGUGGUUUUUUAAGCGUGAGGUGAAAGGCAAUAGCUUAACUAUUGUAAGCCUUGCGAACUGGAAGACUUGAGUGCAGGAGAGGAAAGUGGAGUUCCUAGUGUAGCGGUUAAAUGCGUAGAUAUUAGGAGGAACACCAGUGGUGAAGGCGACUAUCUGGGAUGUAACUGACCCGGAGGCAUGAAAGCGUCGGGAUCAAACAG